RNAcentral lists this ribosomal RNA (254 nucleotides) under uncultured bacterium. RNAcentral describes it as "partial 16S ribosomal RNA". It matches the Rfam family "Bacterial small subunit ribosomal RNA", at positions 524 to 776 of the family's 1533-position model. The record is from RNAcentral.
UACGUAGGUGGCAAGCGUUGUCCGGAAUUAUUGGGCGUAAAGCGCGCGCAGGCGGUCUUUUAAGUCUGAUGUGAAAGCCCCCGGCUCAACCGGGGAGGGUCAUUGGAAACUGGAAGACUUGAGUGCGAGAGAGAAGAGUGGAAUUCCAUGUGUAGCGGUGAAAUGCGUAGAGAUAUGGAGGAACACCAGUGGCGAAAGCGGCUCUGCUGGGCCAUUACUGACGCUCAUGGACGAAAGCCAGGGGAGCAAAAGGG